This 69-nucleotide antisense RNA is filed under the name Lentzea albida. Its description in RNAcentral is "ASpks TB sRNA". It matches the Rfam family "ASpks TB sRNA". The record is from RNAcentral. Lineage: Bacteria; Bacillati; Actinomycetota; Actinomycetes; Pseudonocardiales; Pseudonocardiaceae.
CUUGACCGACCCCAGCAGCAACGGCCGGUCCCUGUCCUGGCCGUAGGUGGCCAGCAAGGCCUGCGCCUC